RNAcentral lists this ribosomal RNA (253 nucleotides) under uncultured bacterium. Its description in RNAcentral is "partial 16S ribosomal RNA". It matches the Rfam family "Bacterial small subunit ribosomal RNA", at positions 524 to 776 of the family's 1533-position model. The record is from RNAcentral.
UACGUAGGGAGCAAGCGUUGUCCGGAAUCAUUGGGCGUAAAGCGCGCGUAGGUGGCCUCAUAAGUCCGCUGUGAAAGUCAAAGGCUCAACCUUUGAAAGCCGGUGGAUACUGUGGGGCUAGAGUACGGAAGAGGCGAGUGGAAUCCCUGGUGUAGCGGUGGAAUGCGCAGAUAUCAGGAGGAACACCAAUAGCGAAGGCAGCUCGCUGGGACGUUACUGACACUGAGGCGCGAAAGCGUGGGGAGCAAACAGG